ACGAUAUUCAUAACCAUUCACCAAUCUAGAAGCAAACUGAACAAACAUAACAGAUUAAUAGGUUACAGCAAAAAUUAUUCAAUCAUUUUCUACAGAAUAAUGUUCAUAUGAAUAUACGAUACAAUGAUGAGACCUGAUUCUUUAUAUUAGUAUUUUACAAAUCAAUGCAACUGUGAAAACUGUAUAAAGAAGAAAGAAUAUCUUCCUUAGGUGAAAACUGUAGAGCCUUGAGUGAAUUAGACAAGGAAGUGUGAUGGAUUCAUUCUUUCCUACGUCUCUUCAAAUAGGGAAUAAAAAAAAUCUUUCUACAAUUAAGGUAAUCACUACUCAGUACUCACAAUCUUGAGGAUGUGAAUGUUGAUGCCAUGUUGUUUUAGGUUGGUUGCUUGCAUUUACAAUUUCUAACAAGAGACUACCUAGAACGCCAGGAGAGGGAGGCAUCAUCAAGGCAGCUAUUUAUAUCAUGGACAG
Molecule: long non-coding RNA, 471 nt
Filed under: Zostera marina
Lineage: Eukaryota; Viridiplantae; Streptophyta; Magnoliopsida; Alismatales; Zosteraceae
Description: long non-coding RNA (ZMAR_LNC005879)
Source: RNAcentral